UGCUGGCUAAGGACCAAGGAGCAUCAGAAAGCUUUCUUCUCUCUGCUUUCUACAGCACUUGAAAUCAGAGCAAGAAGCUGAGACACAACCGAGCAUGGGAACGGUCAGACUUCAGUGCCUUCAAAAAAAAGGGAGACGAGAGGAAGAGAAGUUCCAAAACCUCUUUUCAGUUGUGACAAUGAAGAUAAGCAUUUCUAGGUAUACGUCUGCAAAAUGAAGCUGAAGUAUAGCUUCAAGA
Molecule: long non-coding RNA, 238 nt
Organism: Centrocercus urophasianus (Greater sage-grouse)
Lineage: Eukaryota; Metazoa; Chordata; Aves; Galliformes; Phasianidae
Exons: 3
Source: RefSeq, a predicted model, not a curated record